RNAcentral lists this transfer RNA (71 nucleotides) under Loxodonta africana (African savanna elephant). It matches the Rfam family "tRNA". Rfam says of the family: Transfer RNA (tRNA) molecules are approximately 80 nucleotides in length. Their secondary structure includes four short double-helical elements and three loops (D, anti-codon, and T loops). The record is from Rfam by way of RNAcentral. Lineage: Eukaryota; Metazoa; Chordata; Mammalia; Proboscidea; Elephantidae.
GCGGUGGUGGUUCAGUGGUAGACUUCUUGCCUUCCAUGCAGGAGAUCUGGGUUCUAUUCCCAGCCAAUGCA